This 301-nucleotide ribosomal RNA is filed under the name uncultured bacterium. RNAcentral's name for it is "partial 16S ribosomal RNA". It matches the Rfam family "Bacterial small subunit ribosomal RNA", at positions 509 to 807 of the family's 1533-position model. The record is from RNAcentral.
CAGUAGCCGCGGGAAUACCGAGGGUGCAAGCGUUAAUCGGAAUUACUGGGCGUAAAGCGCACGCAGGCGGUCUGUCAAGUCAGAUGUGAAAUCCCCGGGCUUAACCUGGGAACUGCAUUUGAAACUGGCAGGCUAGAGUCUUGUAGAGGGGGGUAGAAUUCCAGGUGUAGCGGUGAAAUGCGUAGAGAUCUGGAGGAAUACCGGUGGCGAAGGCGGCCCCCUGGACAAAGACUGACGCUCAGGUGCGAAAGCGUGGGGAGCAAACAGGAUUAGAUACCCCGGUAGUCCCUGUCUCUUAUAC